GACGCGCUUCCGCGCCCCCUGGCGCCAGACUGGGCUCGUCGCAGGUGCGGUGGCGCGGGUCCCGUGUUCCUACGCGGGCGGUUCCCCUGGGAACAAGCGCGAGCCGGCGCCGAGAGAUGUUUCGCGGGCUGGAGAGGCGGCCUGGGAUUAACUUUGAAUUAGAAUAUAAAUAUGCCAUCCAGAUUCCAAAACAUGUAUAAGAAUUGACAAAAACAGCUGAGGUUGAACAGAAAUUGUGUGGGAGAAAGUAGAGAGGAAAAACAGAGACCAAUCUCAGCAGCAAGAAGUUUCAGCUAGACAAUAGUAGCAAAAGUGUAACUCCUGAAGAGAAGUCCUGCAUGCCGAGUGAACACACCUGCCAAGCAUCUGCUGUGACUGCCAGACCCAUGAUGACACAGCGGCCGGUGCAGUUACGCGGCACAUCACAUUGCUUUGCAUAUUUCUUGCCUCACUUCCA
Lemur catta (Ring-tailed lemur) is the source of this 457-nucleotide long non-coding RNA. RefSeq lists it as uncharacterized. NCBI's taxonomy places the organism in Eukaryota, Metazoa, Chordata, Mammalia, Primates, Lemuridae. The transcript has 3 exons. The record is from RefSeq and is a predicted model, not a curated record.